UUGUACAUGAAAUAUAAAAAACGUUGAACUCUGUAUGAAGGAGUUACUUUAACUAUUCAAAGUUCAAUGUCAUUUGGCGCUACUACUCAAGUAAUUUUGCCAAACCCCUACAAUUUUACAUUUCUGUCUAAGCUUAAAGGGCGUGGGAAGUUUGGUGAGCUUUGGGGCAUGUAAAGGUUUUAAAGGUUGGGCUCAUUUUUGCAAAGAAAGAAAAAAACACGGAUAAUCAUUGCUAUGUCUGAACACUGAGAGGCUCUCUCUCUUGUGGUCAUGGGGCUCAAAAGUCUUGCAAAUUUUGACUCUGUUGUGGUGAAUAACUAGUAUUGAUUUGUCCUGAAUACAUUAUGUCAUUUACAAUGGGCAGGACUCAAAUACAUCUUUAUUUAAUAGAAUGAUGUGCUUAAUGAGACCGUAGUCUAUACAUGAUCCAACCAAAUCUUCGUAUAUUUUCAGGUACAGAUUACCUUUAUCGAUAUAAAUUUAAGAAGCUUCAGAGUUGUGUUUUAAAGCCGAAAAAGUUCAGAUUUUUUAGACACUUAUUCAACAAAGAGGGGACAGUAUGAAAAAGAGUCAAGCAUGCAGUUCUUAUUCAAGGACACUGAGAUAAAUGAGCUUAAAAAGGGACACAGAGUGGACUUACUUUCAACAACAUAACCUUUACCUCCCCCAAAAUAAAACCAUAUGGUGUCAAAAAGUGCUGACCAAAUGUGCCUCCUGCACUCUGUGAUCAUGUUGGCAGAGUUAUCCGUGGUUUUUUAUUUUUAUUUAUUCCUAAAGGAGUUUGUUCUUCCGUUCAGGCUCAUGUGUUCUCAGCACACGCUCACGUCGACUUCAGAGGCUGAGGGACUCUGCAGGGACAUGCGAGGGCUGCUGACAGACCCGCUGUGUCCUUCAGGAUGUUUACAUGAGAACGAGGUCUGAGAGGACCACAGGCUGUCACGUCCAUGCUGAUGUGAUGUUUAUUAAGCUUAUAGCAACAUUAACAACAAGUUAUCUGUGAUGAAAUGUACACGACACACAAGAGGCAUCCCCCAGUGAUGAAACAUGGAGACGAUGCAGAAGUGCCCUAAUUACAGUUCCUCAAGUGUCCUCUUAGAGCUGUAUCCAAAAGUCAAGGAGACCUCUUUAGAAAUGCAUUUUUUUACAGCAGAAAUUUGUUGAAUACCAUUUGGUCCUCAUUUAUUAAACUGUGACAAAUGUACAGUCAGGUUUAACAUUUCCUCCUUGAAGAUGAUGUUUUUGAAGCAGGACAAACUGGGGAGCGAAAGGAUGUGAGGGAUUAAACUGUGGGGGCUCAAUGACAUUUCAUAAAUGCAGCUCGAAUCUGCAGUGGUACAGUACCUGCCAAAGUAUUCUGAGAAAGGAGGACCAAUAGACUGCCAACAAGGUAGUGAUGUGCAUAGAUAGUAAUUAAAUUAGUAUUGAGUAUUCAUCAUAGAUUGUGUAUACUAUGGACAACUUGGUUCAGCCUUCCGCCAGUAUAUGGAUUUGAAGCCGAAAAGCUCUCGGCAGUUCCACGUUUUUUCUCCACUUCCUGAAAACAACAUCGCGCAGUAGCGUUGUGCGCAUUCAGCGGGAGAGUCUCUCUGUGAUGACGCUCGGCUCAAACAGCGUAAUCUCAGGUGAGCUACGCAAUCCUUGUAUGCUCAUAGGCUGUAUCAAGUGUCAGUCAUAGAAAACAUAAACCCUCUAAUCACACUUUAAAAGUAGGGUUGUAUUGGUUACAUAUCACUAGUAAGGUUCUGCCCUUUUAAUGAGAAAGUGCAAAAAAACAUUACUUUUCUAUAUGAUUUAUUUAAUACAUGUAUAGUAUAACACAUUUUUUCAUGUAUAGCACUUUAAUUCAGGGUUAAACUCGUGCUAACUCAUCUUGAUAAAUAGAGUUAUACAUGGCAGCUAUAAAUGGGUUGACAGAGUGAAUAAAAGAGAGGUUUGAGACGGUAAUGUUGUCAGAUAACAGCUGUGGCUCUACCUCAGAUGUUGAGCUGAUGUGCUGAGUUGAUGUGAGGCACUCCUGUGUACUCCACGAUCCCCUCCAGGCUCCAAUUUAAACAAUUCAGGGAUCAACCUGAGGACUGAUGAAACCCUGAACUCACAGUGAAUCAGUGUCAGGAUCAAAUGAGUGUACCUGAGCUUCAGAAGUAAAACUGAGGAGAAAUGAGUAAAGUCGGCUUCAGUAUCUGUGACAUAUGUUUCAGGUUUGGAGUUGAACAGAGAUCUGCAGAGUUAAAGCGUCUCUGAUUAUGUUUCUCUGAAAGUACAACAUAAAUUCAUUCAUUUUAAUCCCUCGCUGCUGUAACUUUUACACUAAUGUCAGAGUAUUUGGUUAAGAACUGUGCUGUAUUUGAACCAGCCACUUUAUAAGUCAGAAAUGAGUAUAUUUGGUGGAUAAGAGGAUGGUUUGGCAUUCGUCCAGUGAUGUUUUGUUGUUUUUUCUGUGUUUUCAGAGACAGGCUUGAAGGCUUGGGUAGGACAAACCGCUAUGCAAUAAAGGAAACCCGACUUUAGCGUCUAUUUUACUUUGAGUUGGACCAAAAUUUAUUCAAUUAAAAACAGGGUGUGUCUCAAAAAACUGGAGAUUAAGACCGAUUAAAAGUUGUUUACUGAAGCAUUAAAUCAACUUGGAAGUCAUUUGCCAUUUUCUUAUUGACUUCCAUUACCCUGAGUUGUUUGAGAGAAUACACCCCCUGCUGGAUAGAAUAAAAAUGCAGAUUUAAGAUGCUGCUGCCCUGGUUCAGACCUGGAUUAUCUAGGGUCUGGCUUACCUGACCUGAAAUGAGUAAUUGUACAGCCAAAUAAGAGUUUUAUUUUAUAGCCAGAUUGUGGGGAUGCGGCAGCAGGGUGCCUGGGCACGAUGGGAGCAGGUGCUGGACCGGAAAAUGUCGUGGUCGGAGCUUUGGAAGUCCGAGCCACACCGUAUUAUGUUCCUGAUCCAGUCAGUCUAUGAUGUCCUCCCCAGCCCAUCCAACCUCUUCUGCUGGGGCCUGGCAGAGACCCUUGCGUGCCCACUCUGCAUGAAAGGGGAUCCAUGGAGCACAUCCUGAGCAGCUGCAGGAAGGCCCUAGGAGAGGGUCACUACCACUGGCGUCAUGAUCAGGUGCUGCGGGUCAUCGCAGAAGUCAACUGCUCAGGGAUCAUCAAGAGCCGGCAGCAGCAACCAGCAAAGAACAUCAUAGCUUUUGUCAAGGCUGGGGAGAAGGUGCACCACUCCUCAAGAACAACAGGAGGGCUUCUAACAACAGCCCGGGACUGGCAGUUGAAGGUUGACCUAGGGAAACAGCUCAAAUUUCCAGCUUCCAUCACUGAGACCUCCCUCAGGCCAGACAUAGUGCUGGUGUCAGAAACAUCCAGACAGGUGGUAAUGUUGGAGUUGACUGUUCCUUGGGAAGACCGGAUGGAGGAGGCCUUUGAAAGGAGGAGAGCCAAAUAUGAAGAGCUGGCAAGCGAGUGCCGACAGAAUGGUUGGAAUACCCGGUGUGACCCCAUUGAGGUGGGGUGUAGGGGCUUCGCGGGCCAGUCUCUCUGUAGAGCACUGAAGAGGCUGGAGGUGAGAGGGCUGCACAGCAGGAGAGCCAUCAAGGCCAUCUCAGAUGCCACAGAGAGGGCAUCAAGAUGGCUGUGGAUCAAGCAGGGUGAACCGUGGACUACUAAAGCUACUGAGACACAAGUCGGGGCUUGGGUCGCCCAGGUGAGGGUGUAUGAUGUUGAAUGACUCGAAACACCAGAGGACCCUGGGUUACAUCACUGAUGAUGUGUCCAAGUAUGCAUCGCAAGAUGUCUGAAAGAACAUAGUAUUUUGAAUUCUUGUUAAUGUGGGAUUUUUAAUUGGGAUGUUAAAUUGUCUGGAAGAAGACUAUGGCAAACACCAACUGAGGUCCUUUAAAUGAGGAUGAUUAAGGUUCAAACACUUACAUAAAACUCCUAAAAACUGUCAGAGAUGUUGAACACAAACAGCUUAAGCUUUCAAACCAUCUUUACCUGGACUUUUUCCUUCUUCCUCCAAGUAAAAUCUUCUCUAAUUAGUCAAAUACAGUUUCAUUCAGCCAGUGCAUAAAGGAAAUUAGGACAAGCAUCUCUGAUAAUGAAAUAUAAGCGACGCAUUCUCUGUUUGCGUUGCAUACUGAGCUGUCUGGAUGUGUUAUUCAGGUUGUUAUUCCCUCACAGGGUCACAGCAGGAUAAAACACAUGGAGGAUGAGGGGCUGCAAAAAGCAUGAGGCAAAAAGAGCCUGACUGCAGGAGGAGUUGACAGGCAGUGUGAGAAGUUUCCCCGUGCUGCACCGUCAAACCCAGAAUCUAAUGUCUAAUUCAUAUGGUGCACAUUAGGAGGAGGAGAUGGAGGAAGAGGAGGAGGAAGAGGCAUGUGCAGAUCACAGGCUUCCCCAAAGAGUGUCAACCCUUCACUGUCACUCUUUUUGUCUGCAGGUCCGCUUGUACCUGACAGGUUUGGGGCUCCAAAAUGUCA
RNAcentral lists this long non-coding RNA (4463 nucleotides) under Xyrichtys novacula (pearly razorfish). The record is from RNAcentral. Lineage: Eukaryota; Metazoa; Chordata; Actinopteri; Labriformes; Labridae.